UAGGGAUCGCAGCGGCAUCCUUUUUGCGCAGCCCCAAAGGCCAAGUGCCUUUGUCCCUGAAAAAACAGCUCCCGAACGGCGGGGACCACAAAAAAAAACUGGAACGCUGCGCAGAAAGAUAUAGCGGAGAGCCCGACCCCGA
RNAcentral lists this small RNA (142 nucleotides) under Hyunsoonleella jejuensis. Its description in RNAcentral is "Flavo-1 RNA". It matches the Rfam family "Flavo-1 RNA", at positions 9 to 76 of the family's 76-position model. The record is from RNAcentral. Lineage: Bacteria; Pseudomonadati; Bacteroidota; Flavobacteriia; Flavobacteriales; Flavobacteriaceae.